RNAcentral lists this ribosomal RNA (253 nucleotides) under uncultured bacterium. RNAcentral describes it as "partial 16S ribosomal RNA". It matches the Rfam family "Bacterial small subunit ribosomal RNA", at positions 524 to 776 of the family's 1533-position model. The record is from RNAcentral.
GACGAAGGAUGCAAGCGUUAUCCGGAUUCAUUGGGUUUAAAGGGUGCGUAGGCGGACUUGUAAGUCAGUGGUGAAAUCUCUCAGCUUAACUGAGAAACUGCCAUUGAUACUGCAGGUCUUGAGUACAGAUGAUGUUGGCGGAAUAUGACAUGUAGCGGUGAAAUGCAUAGAUAUGUCAUAGAACACCGAUUGCGAAGGCAGCUGACAAAACUGUAACUGACGCUGAGGCACGAAAGUGUGGGGAUCAAGCAGG